GGUUGCAUAACUCAACUGGAUAGAGUAACGGUUUUCUAAACCGUAAGUUCUUGGUUCGAAUCCAAGUGCGACUACUA
RNAcentral lists this transfer RNA (77 nucleotides) under Neisseriaceae bacterium. RNAcentral's name for it is "tRNA-Arg". It matches the Rfam family "tRNA". From Rfam's summary of the family: Transfer RNA (tRNA) molecules are approximately 80 nucleotides in length. Lineage: Bacteria; Pseudomonadati; Pseudomonadota; Betaproteobacteria; Neisseriales; Neisseriaceae. The record is from RNAcentral.